Molecule: long non-coding RNA, 382 nt
Organism: Lonchura striata (white-rumped munia)
Lineage: Eukaryota; Metazoa; Chordata; Aves; Passeriformes; Estrildidae
Source: RefSeq, a predicted model, not a curated record
CCGGCCCCACCAAUCGCGGCCCGCCCUUUCGUCUCCCCGAAGCCCGCGUCCCCUCAGGCCUCGCUCCCACCCGCUCGCCGCUCGCUCCCAUCCCCGGGAGAACUCCCGGCCGGCGCGUGGACAGGAGCCCCCGCCGGCCUUUCCCGGGCCCCAGCAGCACCUCCCGGGGCAGCGGCAGCGCGGCCCCGCCGGCUCCAGAAGCCGCGGCGGACUGAUAACCACGGUGGAACGAGACUCAUCACCCCCACUCAUGCAAGAUAAAAAGGGACUGAAGAGAAGGAAAGGUUGUCAGCUUUUGGCGGAGCCAGGCUCCCAGCUGAACCCAGCGCUGUUUUGCUUGCUAUCGCUUGCUGUAAUUAAUAAAAUUAUUAAUUGAUCUUAA